Molecule: ribosomal RNA, 753 nt
Filed under: Homidia tiantaiensis
Lineage: Eukaryota; Metazoa; Arthropoda; Collembola; Entomobryomorpha; Entomobryidae
Description: eukaryotic LSU rRNA
Rfam family: Eukaryotic large subunit ribosomal RNA
Source: RNAcentral
AAACUAACAAGGAUUCCCUGAGUAACGGCGAGCGAAAAGGGAAUAGCCCAGCGCCGAAUCUCUUGUCCUCCGGGCAAGAAGACAUGUGGCGUUUGGGACGAGGCUUUGCCUGUGCAGAAUGGUCAUCCAAGUCCCUCUUGAACGGGGCCAUAGCCCAUGGAGGGUGCUAGGCCCGUAUGAUGACUUUAUUGUGCAGUGCGUCUCGUCCGUAGAGUCGGGUUGCUUGGGAGUGCAGCCCAAAUCAGGUGGUAAACUCCAUCUAAGGCUAAAUAUGACCACGAGACCGAUAGCGAACAAGUACCGUGAGGGAAAGUUGAAAAGAACUUUGAAGAGAGAGUUAAAAAGUACGUGAAACCUCUCGGGGGUAAGCGGGCAGAACUUGCAAGUAUUGGCUGGGAACAUUCAGGCUUAGUGUUGGUGGCUUGUGGUGCACGUUUUGUUGCUCUUUCGGGAGUUGACUGCCGUGUGUUGCUUGUUCUGCUGACGAUGCGCCGCAUUUGUUCCUGUCAUCGGGUUGCAUGCGACUUGAUGGUAGUUUAGGUGCUGGGUGUCUGCAAAUCCUUGUGGUUUGAGCCCUGGUCUCCAACUGCUGUCGUGGUCGUUGAAAUUACGAGUAGGCGCUUGUCGCGGUCAAAAGAUUUCGCGAGUUGGGUGCUUAUGAUAUGUGGACGGGUAACCGUAGCAUGUUGUCUGUACCUGCUGUCAGUGAGAUUUUGUAUUUGGCACUGCUCUGAUUGCAAUCUAAAGCAUGCG